UGGUCUAAUACUUCAUAAUAUCCAUCUCGUAUGGAUUAAAGCUUUAUGCGCUUUGGGAGGGGCCUGCGUUAACAUUAGCUUGUUGGUGAGGUAAAAGCUCACCAUGGCUUCGAUGUUUAACUGGUUUGAGAGGAUGACCAGUCACACUGGGACUGAGAUACGGCCCAGACUCCUACGGGAGGCAGCAGUAAGGAAUCUUCCACAAUGGGGCAACCCUGAUGGAGCAAUACCGCGUGCAGGAUGAAGCGUUUCGGCGUGUAAACUGCUUUUAUCACCGAAGAUUAUGACUGUAGGUGAAGAAUAAGGACCGGCUAACUACGUG
Molecule: ribosomal RNA, 322 nt
Filed under: uncultured bacterium
Lineage: Bacteria
Description: bacterial SSU rRNA
Rfam family: Bacterial small subunit ribosomal RNA
Source: RNAcentral